RNAcentral lists this ribosomal RNA (156 nucleotides) under Triticum aestivum (bread wheat). RNAcentral's name for it is "rRNA 5_8S_rRNA". It matches the Rfam family "5.8S ribosomal RNA". From Rfam's summary of the family: 5.8S ribosomal RNA (5.8S rRNA) is a component of the large subunit of the eukaryotic ribosome. It is transcribed by RNA polymerase I as part of the 45S precursor that also contains 18S and 28S rRNA. The record is from RNAcentral. Lineage: Eukaryota; Viridiplantae; Streptophyta; Magnoliopsida; Poales; Poaceae.
GACUCUCGGCAACGGAUAUCUCGGCUCUCGCAUCGAUGAAGAACGUAGCGAAAUGUGAUACCUGGUGUGAAUUGCAGAAUCCCGCGAACCAUCGAGUCUUUGAACGCAAGUUGCGCCCGAGGCCACUCGGCCGAGGGCACGCCUGCCUGGGCGUCA